UCAUGCAAAGAGGAAAGAGAUAAAGAAUCGGAGGACAUGAUGCUGAUAUGUGAAACCACAAACAAAAAGAACUGUCCAGGUAAAGGCUACUACCAUCAGGAGUGCCUAGGAAUUGAAAGAGUACCUAAAGGAAAGUGGCUGUGCGACUUCUGCAAACAGAAAUCU
RNAcentral lists this long non-coding RNA (165 nucleotides) under Dendronephthya gigantea. Its description in RNAcentral is "uncharacterized LOC114544677, transcript variant X2". Lineage: Eukaryota; Metazoa; Cnidaria; Anthozoa; Malacalcyonacea; Nephtheidae. The record is from RNAcentral.